This is a long non-coding RNA of Syngnathus acus (greater pipefish), 96 nucleotides long. RefSeq lists it as uncharacterized. The transcript is spliced from 3 exons. Lineage: Eukaryota; Metazoa; Chordata; Actinopteri; Syngnathiformes; Syngnathidae. The record is from RefSeq and is a predicted model, not a curated record.
GGGCCACUCGAAUUUUUGGAGAGACAUCACUCUGACAUCGGUUGAAAAAAAUCUUUUCCCAAUCAGUCGUGUGUCACUGGAGUGAAUCUUACCCCG